UACGGAGGGGGCGAGCGUUAUCCGGAAUUAUUGGGCGUAAAGGGCGCGUAGGCGGCUUGAUGUGUCAAAGGUGAAAUCCCUCGGCUCAACUGAGGAACUGCCUUUGAAACUGUCUGGCUUGAGGCCGGGAGAGGGUAGCGGAAUUCCCAGUGUAGCGGUGAAAUGCGUAGAGAUCGGGAGGAACACCUGUGGCGAAGGCGGCCACCUGGGCCGACCCUGACGCUGAGGCGCGAAGGCGUGGGGAGCGAACGGG
This 253-nucleotide ribosomal RNA is filed under the name uncultured bacterium. RNAcentral describes it as "partial 16S ribosomal RNA". It matches the Rfam family "Bacterial small subunit ribosomal RNA", at positions 524 to 776 of the family's 1533-position model. The record is from RNAcentral.